UUGGAGGGCAAGUCUGGUGCCAGCAGCCGCGGUAAUUCCAACUCCAAUAGCGUAUAUUAAAGUUGUUGCAGUUAAAAAGCUCGUAGUUGAAUUUCGGGGUUCUACCGUUGGUCGGGCUUUGUCUGUACUGGUGUGUAGAAUUUCUACCUUCUGGGGAACCAUCAUGCUAUUAAUUUAGCGUGGUGGGAAACCAGGACCUUUACCUUGAAAAAAUUAGUGUGUUCAAAGCAGGCUUAUGUCUGAAUACAUUAGCGUGGAAUAAUAGAAUAGGACGGUGGUCCUGUUUUGUUGGUUUCUGAAUCACCGUAAUGAUUAAUAGGGAUAGUUGGGGGCAUUAGUAUUCAAUUGUCAGAGGUGAAAUUCUUGGAUUUAUUGAAGACUAACUUCUGCGAAAGCAUUUGCCAAGGAUGUUUUCAUUAAUCAAGAACGAAAGUUAGGGGAUCGAAGACGAUCAGAUACCGUCGUAGUCUUAACCAUAAACUAUGCCGACUAGGGAUCGGACGAUGUUAAUUUUUUAAUGACUCGUUCGGCGCCUUACGGGAAAC
Molecule: ribosomal RNA, 545 nt
Filed under: uncultured Glomeromycotina
Lineage: Eukaryota; Fungi; Glomeromycota
Description: SSU rRNA
Rfam family: Eukaryotic small subunit ribosomal RNA
Source: RNAcentral